AGUGAACGCUGGCGGUAGGCCUAACACAUGCAAGUCGAACGGCAGCACAGUAAGAGCUUGCUCUUACGGGUGGCGAGUGGCGGACGGGUGAGGAAUACAUCGGAAUCUACUUUUUCGUGGGGGAUAACGUAGGGAAACUUACGCUAAUACCGCAUACGACCUACGGGUGAAAGCAGGGGAUCUUCGGACCUUGCGCGAUUGAAUGAGCCGAUGUCGGAUUAGCUAGUUGGCGGGGUAAAGGCCCACCAAGGCGACGAUCCGUAGCUGGUCUGAGAGGAUGAGCAGCGACACUGGAACUGAGACACGGUCCAGACUCCUACGGGAGGCAGCAGUGGGGAAUAUUGGACAAUGGGCGCAAGCCUGAUCCAGCCAUACCGCGUGGGUGAAGAAGGCCUUCGGGUUGUAAAGCCCUUUUGUUGGGAAAGAAAAGCAGCAGGUUAAUACCCCGCUGUUCUGACGGUACCCAAAGAAUAAGCACCGGCUAACUUCGUG
This 492-nucleotide ribosomal RNA is filed under the name uncultured bacterium. RNAcentral's name for it is "partial 16S ribosomal RNA". It matches the Rfam family "Bacterial small subunit ribosomal RNA", at positions 29 to 507 of the family's 1533-position model. The record is from RNAcentral.